AGUUGUUCAUACAUACUCUAUUCUAGAUAUGAGGUUGACACAUUAUUGGGAUUUAAAGAAUUUUCUGUAACUAACUAAAUUUGGGAAAAAAGGAAAUAUUUAAAGCAUGAAUAACUAUUCAAUUGUUUAGUUGACUUGCAAACCCUAAGUCCAUGUCCCACUCAGUUGAGGCGAUUCCCUAUGUAGGAGAGAAAAGCAAGGAAG
This 204-nucleotide unclassified non-coding RNA is filed under the name Hevea brasiliensis (rubber tree). The record is from RNAcentral. Lineage: Eukaryota; Viridiplantae; Streptophyta; Magnoliopsida; Malpighiales; Euphorbiaceae.